UUGAGCGGAGAUAUAUGGAGCUUGCUUUAUAUAACUUAGCAGCGAAUUGGUGAGUAACACGUAGAUAAUCUAUCCUAUACUGGGGGAUAGCCCGAUGAAAGUUGGAUUAAUACCGCAUAUAGCUAUAUAGUUGCAUGAUUAUGUAGUGAAAGAUUUAUUGGUAUAGGAGGAGUCUGCGGCACAUUAGCUAGUAGGUGAGGUAAAGGCUUACCUAGGCGACGAUGUGUAGCCGGUCUGAGAGGAUGAACGGCCACAAUGGAACUGAGACACGGUCCAUACUCCUACGGGAGGCAGCAGUGGGGAAUAUUGCACAAUGGGGGAAACCCUGAUGCAGCAACGCCGCGUGAGUGAAGAAGGUUUUCGGAUUGUAAAGCUCUGUUAGCAGGGAAGAGGAAGGACGGUACCUGCAGAGGAAGCCACGGCUAACUACGUGCCAGCAGCCGCGGUAAUACGUAGGUGGCAAGCGUUGUUCGGAAUAACUGGGCGUAAAGGAUGCGUAGGCGGUUAAACAAGUUAUAUGUUAAAUAUAUAGGCUUAACCUGUAGAAAGCAUAUAAAACUGUUUAACUAGAGUGCAGGAGAGGUAAGUGGAAUUCCUAGUGUAGCGGUGAAAUGCGUAGAGAUUAGGAAGAACACCAGUGGCGAAGGCGACUUACUGGACUGUAACUGACGCUGAGGCAUGAGAGCAUGGGGAGCAAACAGGAUUAGAUACCCUGGUAGUCCAUGCUGUAAACGAUGGGUACUAGGUGUGGGUUGUGAAUAACAAUUCGUGCCGUCGCA
Molecule: ribosomal RNA, 779 nt
Filed under: uncultured bacterium
Lineage: Bacteria
Description: bacterial SSU rRNA
Rfam family: Bacterial small subunit ribosomal RNA
Source: RNAcentral